CCCUGCCUUUUGUACACACCGCCCGUCGCUACUACCGAUUGAACGUUUUAGUGAGGCCUCGGGACUGGCAGCUAGGAGCUGGAAACAGCACCUUGCAGCCGGGAACUUGUUCAAACUUGAGCGUUUAG
This 128-nucleotide ribosomal RNA is filed under the name uncultured eukaryote. RNAcentral describes it as "partial small subunit ribosomal RNA". It matches the Rfam family "Eukaryotic small subunit ribosomal RNA", at positions 1651 to 1776 of the family's 1831-position model. The record is from RNAcentral.